This 492-nucleotide ribosomal RNA is filed under the name uncultured bacterium. RNAcentral's name for it is "partial 16S ribosomal RNA". It matches the Rfam family "Bacterial small subunit ribosomal RNA", at positions 29 to 507 of the family's 1533-position model. The record is from RNAcentral.
AGUGAACGCUGGCGGUAGGCCUAACACAUGCAAGUCGAACGGCAGCACAGUAAGAGCUUGCUCUUACGGGUGGCGAGUGGCGGACGGGUGAGGAAUACAUCGGAAUCUACUUUUUCGUGGGGGAUAACGUAGGGAAACUUACGCUAAUACCGCAUACGACCUACGGGUGAAAGCAGGGGAUCUUCGGACCUUGCGCGAUUGAAUGAGCCGAUGUCGGAUUAGCCAGUUGGCGGGGUAAGGGCCCACCAAGGCGACGAUCCGUAGCUGGUCUGAGAGGAUGAUCAGCCACACUGGAACUGAGACACGGUCCAGACUCCUACGGGAGGCAGCAGUGGGGAAUAUUGGACAAUGGGCGCAAGCCUGAUCCAGCCAUACCGCGUGGGUGAAGAAGGCCUUCGGGUUGUAAAGCCCUUUUGUUGGGAAAGAAAAGCAGCAGGUUAAUACCCCGCUGUUCUGGCGGUACCCAAAGAAUAAGCACCGGCUAACUUCGUG